Molecule: long non-coding RNA, 523 nt
Organism: Eleginops maclovinus (Patagonian blennie)
Lineage: Eukaryota; Metazoa; Chordata; Actinopteri; Perciformes; Eleginopidae
Exons: 3
Source: RefSeq, a predicted model, not a curated record
AGCUAGACAUCAUGCUGCGAUCCAAAGAAAUUCAGGAACAAAUGAGAAACAAAGUAAUUGAGAUCUAUCAGUCUGGAAAAGGGUAUAAAGCCAAUUCUAAAGCUUUGGGACUCCAGCAAACCACAGUGAGAGACAUCAUCCACAAAUGGCGAAACAUGGAACAGUGGUGAACCUUCCCAGGAUAUGCCGGCUGACCCAAAUUACCCCAAGAGCGCAGCAAAGACUCAAUCCAAGAGGUCACAAAAGACCCCACAACAACAUUCAAAGAACUGCAGGCCUCACCUGUCUCAGUUAAGAGAGCCGUGACCCAUGGAUUUAUACACCAGGUCACACUUGAAACACACACAUACACAGCAUCCUCGCUGUGUAACAACUUGAACUCACCUUCUAGUGGAACAUUCAGGGAUCCCAAGAGCGGGCUGAACAGCUACAAUCACUCACUCCUGUCCAUUAUUUCAGUAGCUGUGUUUACCUCCUGUGGGUUGAUCCGAGCAGCAACAAACAGACCAUCUCUGGAAGAGUG